GAAGGGGUUGCACUUGCACCCCAACUGCAGAGGGGAAGCGGAUCGACUGGGGGAACGAGGGAGACGCUUGAAGUGGCGAUUGAGAUGCGAGGGUAUUUGUAGAGGAUUGACCAAUCCCCUGAUGAAUGUUAGAAAUUCAAAUGAUGCUUUAUAGUUUUCAAUCUGAAAAUCCCUCUCUCCAUUGCUGCUCGCUUUCCUCUUCCCUUCAAUCGCUCCUCUCUGGACCUUGUGAUGAUGGCUGAAGGUUCAAAUUGCUAUUUACUGCUUUCCCUUCUUCUUCUUCUUCUUCUGUUUUCAAUGAUAUGAACACGGCUUGAAGUUCUAAAAUCAGUAGGUUUAACCGACAUUUACAUAUUUCAAUCAAAUCAAACUUACGGUUAAUGGUUUUGUGAACUUCUGGUUAAAUUUUGAAGAUUCUUGAUUAUGUUAUACGAUUUUGGCGUAUUCAUCGAACGUGGCCUUCUUGAUCGAAGAACACGUCUAUCUAUCGUCGAUCGUGGACAUGUCUGAAAUCUAAGCUUUUGUCUAUGUUGCAAAGAAAGCCCCUGCUCGAUUAGACAAUGAAUAAAGUUAUCUGUUAAUUGUGAUUGAAAGGAGUUCUCUUAGGGUUUAUUCAAGGACGUCCUAAUCUUCGAACACUUCUUCGUAAUCAACUUGAUCCAAAAAGUCAUUUAAUCGCAAUCAAGACAUGUCUAUUAAGUCUAUCUUGUGUCACUGUAGAGAGCAAAUAGGAUUUCAACAACUUCAACUUUGAGAAACUUGUUUCUGCAUAGGCAACUGUUGCAGCCUUGCAGGAAUAAUCAACAUAACUCUAUAAGCAAUGAUAGCAAUAGGGAAACAUUUUACAUGCUUUAAAUACUUUAAAAUAUCAAUAGGUCCCAUAUUUUGAUUUGGUAAAUAAUCUUGAAGUAACUUCAAUUCCACAUAUAAGUUAUUCC
Molecule: long non-coding RNA, 938 nt
Organism: Cynara cardunculus var. scolymus (artichoke)
Lineage: Eukaryota; Viridiplantae; Streptophyta; Magnoliopsida; Asterales; Asteraceae
Exons: 2
Source: RefSeq, a predicted model, not a curated record